This 214-nucleotide ribosomal RNA is filed under the name uncultured bacterium. RNAcentral's name for it is "partial 16S ribosomal RNA". It matches the Rfam family "Bacterial small subunit ribosomal RNA", at positions 28 to 245 of the family's 1533-position model. The record is from RNAcentral.
GACGAACGCUGGCGGCGUGCUUAACACAUGCAAGUCGAGCGGUAAGGCCCUCGGGUACGACGAGCGGCGAACGGGUGAGUAACACGUGGGUGACCUGCCUUUAGCUCUGGGAGUAAGCCUGGGAAACUGGGUCUAAUACCGGAUAUGACCUCAUGACGCAUGUUGUGGGGUGGAAAGCCUUGUGCGGCUAGAGAUGGGCCCGCGGCCUAUCAGC